RNAcentral lists this non-coding RNA (23 nucleotides) under Arabidopsis thaliana (thale cress). Lineage: Eukaryota; Viridiplantae; Streptophyta; Magnoliopsida; Brassicales; Brassicaceae. The record is from RNAcentral.
GGUCCUGAUGGCUUCACGGCGAC